CUACGGGCCGCAGCAGUGAGGAAUAUUGCACAAUGGGGGGAACCCUGAUGCAGCAACGCCGCGUGGAGGAUGACGCAUUUCGGUGUGUAAACUCCUUUUAUAUGUCAAGAAAAUGACGGUAGCAUAUGAAUAAGCACCGGCUAACUCCGUGCCAGCAGCCGCGGGUAUACGGAGGGUGCAAGCGUUACUCGGAAUCACUGGGCGUAAAGGACGCGUAGGCGGGUUGGAAAGUCAGGUGUGAAAUCCUACAGCUUAACUGUAGAACUGCACUUGAAACUUCUAAUCUAGAGUAUGGGAGGGGGAGAUGGAAUUAGUGGUGUAGGGGUAAAAUCCGUAGAUAUCACUAGGAAUACCUAAAGCGAAGGCGAUCUCCUGGAACAUAACUGACGCUAAGGCGUGAAAGCGUGGGGAGCAAACAGGAUUAGAUACCCUGGUAGUC
RNAcentral lists this ribosomal RNA (439 nucleotides) under uncultured bacterium. RNAcentral's name for it is "partial 16S ribosomal RNA". It matches the Rfam family "Bacterial small subunit ribosomal RNA", at positions 339 to 795 of the family's 1533-position model. The record is from RNAcentral.